AACGAACGCUGGCGGCAGGCCUAACACAUGCAAGUCGAACGCUCCGCAAGGGGAGUGGCGCACGGGUGAGUAACACGUGGGAACCUACCUUCUGGUACGGAACAACCAAGGGAAACUUUGGUCUAAGACCGUAUACGACCUCCGGGUGGAAAGAUUGAUCGCCGGAAGAGGGGCCCGCGUCCGAUUAGGUAGUUGGUGAGGUAACGGCUCACCAAGCCUUCGAUCGGUAGCUGGUCUGAGAGGAUGACCAGCCACACUGGGACUGAGACACGGCCCACGACUCCUACGGGAGGC
This 294-nucleotide ribosomal RNA is filed under the name uncultured bacterium. RNAcentral describes it as "partial 16S ribosomal RNA". It matches the Rfam family "Bacterial small subunit ribosomal RNA", at positions 29 to 349 of the family's 1533-position model. The record is from RNAcentral.